GGGGCGGUAGCUCAGUUGGGAGAGCACCUGCUUUGCAAGCAGGGGGUCGUGGGUUCGAUUCCCAUCCGCUCCA
Molecule: transfer RNA, 73 nt
Filed under: Gemmatimonadaceae bacterium
Lineage: Bacteria; Pseudomonadati; Gemmatimonadota; Gemmatimonadia; Gemmatimonadales; Gemmatimonadaceae
Also listed under: 3 other names
Description: tRNA-Ala
Rfam family: tRNA
About the family: Transfer RNA (tRNA) molecules are approximately 80 nucleotides in length. Their secondary structure includes four short double-helical elements and three loops (D, anti-codon, and T loops). Further hydrogen bonds mediate the characteristic L-shaped molecular structure. tRNAs have two regions of fundamental functional importance: the anti-codon, which is responsible for specific mRNA codon recognition, and the 3' end, to which the tRNAs corresponding amino acid is attached (by aminoacyl-tRNA synthetases). tRNAs cope with the degeneracy of the genetic code in two manners: having more than one tRNA (with a specific anti-codon) for a particular amino acid; and 'wobble' base-pairing, i.e. permitting non-standard base-pairing at the 3rd anti-codon position.
Source: RNAcentral